AGUGGACUGAUUUCAUCUACAAGUAUGAAGUCCCAAAGCACAUCUAAGAGAGACUCGUGAAGAGAAGAAUAAAUGGUUCUCCCAGUCUGAACUGAAAACCUAGGUUGAUGGAUACUCUAGCUUGUUCCAAGUUUGGGGACGCUCCAUCAAAACCUUUUGUAUCUUUAUUACUGUUUUUUUAGCAUGUUUCAAUGUCCGCAACCAUAUUAGUAUGUAUUUCCGUACUUGUAAUAUUAGUGUUAUCUUCAAGCCUGCCAUGAGAAUUAGUAUAUCCAAUGAACUCGUCGUUUUUAGAUGAAUGUCUUUAUUACAGCUUAUGGUUAUUGUUAUUUGAUGUGCGAAUCCGGUUGAAUGAUCCCUUGUUACUUU
RNAcentral lists this long non-coding RNA (369 nucleotides) under Triticum aestivum (bread wheat). RNAcentral describes it as "long non-coding RNA (TAES_LNC008154)". Lineage: Eukaryota; Viridiplantae; Streptophyta; Magnoliopsida; Poales; Poaceae. The record is from RNAcentral.